GACUUCGUAGCUCAGUGGUUAGAGCAUGCGAUUGCAGUGAAACCCCUACGGGAUUCGAACAGCAACAUCGCAGGGCCACGUGUUCGAAUCACGUCGAGGUCU
Non-coding RNA from Hymenopellis radicata, 102 nucleotides. NCBI's taxonomy places the organism in Eukaryota, Fungi, Basidiomycota, Agaricomycetes, Agaricales, Physalacriaceae. The record is from the annotation of a GenBank genome assembly.